UCCGGUUUGUCACCGGCAGUCUCAUUAGAGUGCCCUUUCGUAGCAACUAAUGACAAGGGUUGCGCUCGUUGCGGGACUUAACCCAACAUCUCACGACACGAGCUGACGACAGCCAUGCAGCACCUGUGUACUGGUUCUCUUUCGAGCACUCCCCGAUCUCUCAAGGAUUCCAGCCAUGUCAAGGGUAGGUAAGGUUUUUCGCGUUGCAUCGAAUUAAUCCACAUCAUCCACCGCUUGUGCGGGUCCCCGUCAAUUCCUUUGAGUUUUAAUCUUGCGACCGUAUUCCCCAGGCGGUAUGCUUAUCGCGUUAGUUUAGCCACUGAACGGUAAACCGUCCAACAGCGAGCAUACAUCGUUUAGGGCGUGGACUAC
RNAcentral lists this unclassified non-coding RNA (372 nucleotides) under uncultured Gammaproteobacteria bacterium. RNAcentral describes it as "contains 16S-23S intergenic spacer region". The record is from RNAcentral. Lineage: Bacteria; Pseudomonadati; Pseudomonadota; Gammaproteobacteria.